ACGAAUAAGGAUCGGCUAACUCCGUGCCAGCAGCCGCGGUAAUACGGAGGAUCCAAGCGUUAUCCGGAAUCAUUGGGUUUAAAGGGUCCGUAGGCGGGAUGAUAAGUCAGUGGUGAAAGUUUGUGGCUCAACCAUAAAAUUGCCAUUGAUACUGUUGUUCUUGAGUGCUUGUGAAGUGGUUAGAAUGAGUAGUGUAGCGGUGAAAUGCAUAGAUAUUACUCAGAAUACCGAUUGCGAAGGCAGAUCACUAACAAUACACUGACGCUGAUGGACGAAAGCGUAGGUAGCGAACAGGAUUAGAUACCCUGGUAGUCUACCCCGUAAACGAUGGUUACUAGCUGUUCGGACUAAUUGCGGUCUGAGUGGCUAAGCGAAAGUGAUAAGUAACCCACCUGGGG
This 398-nucleotide ribosomal RNA is filed under the name uncultured bacterium. RNAcentral's name for it is "bacterial SSU rRNA". It matches the Rfam family "Bacterial small subunit ribosomal RNA", at positions 482 to 878 of the family's 1533-position model. The record is from RNAcentral.